This 1926-nucleotide long non-coding RNA is filed under the name Anas platyrhynchos platyrhynchos (common mallard). RNAcentral's name for it is "lncRNA (ENSAPLG00000029110.1)". Lineage: Eukaryota; Metazoa; Chordata; Aves; Anseriformes; Anatidae. The record is from RNAcentral.
CGGCGGGGUGGGCGUGCACCUUCCCUCCCAUUGGCUAUCCUCUCCCCCGCUCCGCUCGCCGAUUGGCCGCCCCACGCGUCCCUUGGGGGGCCGUGGGCGGAAGCGUGGCGUACGGCGGCCGCGGAGGCUGGGGGCCGCCAUGUAACGCGCCCGCCGCUCCCCGCCUCAGCGCCGCCUCAGCGCCGCUUCCCCGAGCCCCCCCCCUCACCCCCGGCCGCCUCCUGCCGCCCGCCAUGGGGGCCUGGAGCCCGGCCCGGCCAUGAAGGGCGGCGGGGGGACCCGUUCCCACCUUCUGCCCGCCGCCAGGGGAGCACCGCGACGCCCGGGGACCGGCGGGGCUCCUCCUCGCAGUGGCUCCUGGACAAGGCAGCAAGCACCCCGUGGGCGAGCCGUGCCGGGUGCCCGCGGGGUGCAGUCCCUGGCGUUGCUUUCUCUUCGCUUUCUCCUCCUCGUCCGCAGGGCGAGCGCGCUCCCUGCGCCAGGCGCAGCCUUCCCGGCGGAGCUGCGCCUCCGUGCUUUCGCCCGGCCUGUUUAUUUUUAGGGGCUUUAGCGCCUGUUUGCGGAGAGGAGUUGUUCCAUCGUCAUGGCAACCCGGCUGCGUGUCUCAUAAACAUUAUUCGAGGGAACCUUUUCCAGCUCGAUCGAGGCUUCCUUUCCGUAACGAGGUUAGGAUCGAUGUGAAACGCCGAGCCUGUUGCUCGUGGUGCAGGGACACGGCCUCUUGUUCCUUGACGCGGAUGCUUUUACCCUCAGCCGGUUCCAUCUGCUGCUGGUAAACGUUCCCCGCAGCCUCUGCGAUGGCAGAGGAGGAGGAAAAGCAAAGUGUAAUCCACCGAAAGAGGAGCUCUCAUACAAUUACUUCAUGGCUUAUUAGAGGCAGUCACAUCAGCGUUAGAAACAAACCAAGUGCCAGAUAAAAAAAAAUGGAGUGUCUUUGAAGUUUGCCAUUCUUUUCUUUCCCUGACCGUUCCCAUGCUACCAAAAGGUGGGGAAGGCUAGAAAAUGCUAACUCGGGACACACAGUGCUCCUUUCUCAGACAGGAGUUAAAAAGAUGAAACAAACUGCUCCUAAACCCCAAAAUAUUUGCUAAUACCUCAAUUUCGUAUAAACUCACAGCUUGAUUUUCGAGCCAAGAGCGGAGAAUUUAUUGCAGCGUUUGUUUAAAGUAAAUAUGCCUGUCAGACUUGGAGAGGGAUUAGGCAAUGAAAACUGUGGAGCAGCUCUUAUCAUGAGGACAUCCUCCAGCGUUUCCUUCCAAGGAGCUUCCUGCCCUGAUAACCACGGCUUCUCCUUCAGAACGAGCUGAUUUUCCUGACUGCCUGGGAAACAACAGCGCCGUGAAUGCCAGGGCCAAGGGGAAGGCUGGAAUUUACUGGGGGCUGGGAUUUUUUUUUAAUCUUAUUUACCUGAUUUUGUUAUUUAGUGGAGAAGGUACAGUUUGAGUGCCUCUUGGAAAGCUACCAGGGUUUGGAAACCUUAAUGAUGGUGCUGCAGAUGGGAAAAUCUGCCUCUGAUUUAAUUCCUUGCAAAUGGGAACUUGGAUUUACACGCACAGCAGUCCCUUAACAGGUAGUUCACCUGUCUUCAGGAAGGAAGCAAGCAAGCAGCAGUAGUUCAGGUGUCCUUACACUGCUCCGUGUGUCCCAGAGGCAGGCUGUGUCCCGCUCCUAGCACUCCAAAGAGGCGGAUUUUUGGCCAGAGUCAAAAUCGGUAAAACCCUGACACGAAUAGCUCAGGUGAUUCACCUUCCCAGGGGCUUGAGAGUGUUUUAUGAGAGGUGUGUUGGUGCAGGGACGUUUGGAGUGCUGGGCUAAUGAAAUUGUUGCUUGAUUGUGUGCUGAUGACCACUUAAUUGCGGAGUUCAUUAGUGCUGUUCCCACUCCUCGUCCCGUUAGGAAAAUAAAAGGAACAGAGGGAAUAGGGCA